UCCUACGGGAGGCAGCAGUGGGGAAUAUUGGGCAAUGGGCGAAAGCCUGACCCAGCAACGCCGCGUGAUUGAAGAAGGUCUUCGGAUUGUAAAGAUCUGUCCUAUGGGAAGAAAAAAAUGACGGUACCAUAGGAGGAAGCCCCGGCUAACUACGUGCCAGCAGCCGCGGUAAUACGUAGGGGGCAAGCGUUGUCCGGAAUUACUGGGCGUAAAGGGUGCGUAGGCGGUAUCUUAAGUCAGAUGUGAAAUAUCCAUGCUUAACGUGGAGGGUGCAUUUGAAACUGGGAUACUUGAGUGCAGGAGAGGAAAGUGGAAUUCCUAGUGUAGCGGUGAAAUGCGUAGAUAUUAGGAGGAACACCAGUGGCGAAGGCGACUUUCUGGACUGUAACUGACGCUGAGGCACGAAAGCGUGGGGAGCAAACAGGAUUAGAUACCCCGGUAGC
RNAcentral lists this ribosomal RNA (443 nucleotides) under uncultured bacterium. RNAcentral describes it as "bacterial SSU rRNA". It matches the Rfam family "Bacterial small subunit ribosomal RNA", at positions 337 to 794 of the family's 1533-position model. The record is from RNAcentral.